Molecule: ribosomal RNA, 253 nt
Filed under: uncultured bacterium
Lineage: Bacteria
Description: partial 16S ribosomal RNA
Rfam family: Bacterial small subunit ribosomal RNA
Source: RNAcentral
UACGUAGGGUGCGAGCGUUAAUCGGAAUUACUGGGCGUAAAGCGUGCGCAGGCGGCUUUGCAAGACAGAUGUGAAAUCCCCGGGCUCAACCUGGGAACUGCAUUUGUGACUGCAAGGCUAGAGUACGGCAGAGGGGGAUGGAAUUCCGCGUGUAGCAGUGAAAUGCGUAGAUAUGCGGAGGAACACCAAUGGCGAAGGCAAUCCCUUGGGCCUGUACUGACGCUCAUGCACGAAAGCGUGGGGAGCAAACAGG